Molecule: ribosomal RNA, 466 nt
Filed under: uncultured Anaerolineaceae bacterium
Lineage: Bacteria; Bacillati; Chloroflexota; Anaerolineae; Anaerolineales; Anaerolineaceae
Description: bacterial SSU rRNA
Rfam family: Bacterial small subunit ribosomal RNA
Source: RNAcentral
UCAAAGGAAUUGACGGGACCCGCACAAGCAGCGGAGCGUGUGGUUUAAUUCGUUGCUACACGAAGAACCUUACCUGGGUUUGACAUAUAAGUUGUAGGGAACUGAAAAGGGACCGACCCUUCGGGGAGCUUAUACAGGUGUUGCAUGGCUGUCGUCAGCUCGUGUCGUGAGAUGUUCGGUUAAGUCCGCUAACGAGCGCAACCCUCGCCGUAUGUUACAAGUGUCAUACGGGACUGCCGGUAAAAGCCGGAGGAAGGUGAGGAUGAUGUCAGGUCAGCAUGACCUUUAUAUCCAGGGCUACACACACGCUACAAUGGUCUGUACAAUUGGUUGCCAAGCCGCGAGGCGGAGCCAAUCCGUAAAGCAGGCCUCAGUUCAGAUUGCAGUCUGCAACUCGACUGCAUGAAGCCGGAGUUGCUAGUAACCGCAGGUCAGCAAUACUGCGGUGAAUACGUUCCCGGGUCUU